CAAUAGCGUAUAUUAAAGUUGUUGCAGUUAAAAAGCUCGUAGUUGGAUUUCUGGUUGAAGCGACCGGUCGGGCGUUGAUUCGUCUGCACUGGAGUCGGUUUUGGCCAUCCUCUAGGAACGUGCGUCUGGUAUUAAGUUAUCGGGCGUAUGAUCCUGGUCUUUUACUGUGAAAAAAUUAGAGUGUUUAAAGCAGGCCUUCGCCUUGAAUACAUUAGCAUGGAAUAAUAAGAUAGGACUUUGGUCUAUUUUGUUGGUUUGCAGACCGAAGUAAUGAUUAAUAGGGAUAGUUGGGGGUAUUUAUAUUCCGAUGUCAGAGGUGAAAUUCUUAGAUUUUCGGAAGAUAAACUUAUGCGAAAGCAUUUACCAAGGAUGUUUUCAUUAA
Molecule: ribosomal RNA, 382 nt
Filed under: uncultured eukaryote
Lineage: Eukaryota
Description: partial 18S ribosomal RNA
Rfam family: Eukaryotic small subunit ribosomal RNA
Source: RNAcentral